UUUUAUGGAGAGUUUGAUCCUGGCUCAGAGUGAACGCUGGCGGCGUGCCUAAUACAUGCAAGUCGAACGAUGAAGCUUCUAGCUUGCUAGAAGUGGAUUAGUGGCGCACGGGUGAGUAAGGUAUAGUUAAUCUGCCCUACACAAGAGGACAACAGUUGGAAACGACUGCUAAUACUCUAUACUCCUGCUUAACACAAGUUAAGUAGGGAAAGUUUUUCGGUGUAGGAUGAGACUAUAUAGUAUCAGCUAGUUGGUAAGGUAAUGGCUUACCAAGGCUAUGACGCUUAACUGGUCUGAGAGGAUGAUCAGUCACACUGGAACUGAGACACGGUCCAGACUCCUACGGGAGGCAGCAGUAGGGAAUAUUGCGCAAUGGGGGAAACCCUGACGCAGCAACGCCGCGUGGAGGAUGACACUUUUC
Molecule: ribosomal RNA, 421 nt
Filed under: Campylobacter jejuni
Lineage: Bacteria; Pseudomonadati; Campylobacterota; Epsilonproteobacteria; Campylobacterales; Campylobacteraceae
Description: bacterial SSU rRNA
Rfam family: Bacterial small subunit ribosomal RNA
Source: RNAcentral